CCAGGUCUGCCACUCCUUGGGUGGCGGAACUGGCUCGGGCAUGGGCACUCUCCUGAUCAGCAAGAUUCGUGAGGAGUACCCUGACCGCAUGAUGUUGACCUUCUCGGUUGUGCCGUCACCAAAGGUGUCGGACACCGUCGUCGAGCCAUACAACGCAACUCUUUCGGUCCACCAGCUUGUCGAGAACGCCGAUGAGUGCAUGGUGCUCGAUAACGAGGC
This 219-nucleotide long non-coding RNA is filed under the name Volvox carteri. RNAcentral describes it as "long non-coding RNA (VCAR_LNC002086)". Lineage: Eukaryota; Viridiplantae; Chlorophyta; Chlorophyceae; Chlamydomonadales; Volvocaceae. The record is from RNAcentral.